Molecule: ribosomal RNA, 254 nt
Filed under: uncultured bacterium
Lineage: Bacteria
Description: partial 16S ribosomal RNA
Rfam family: Bacterial small subunit ribosomal RNA
Source: RNAcentral
UACGUAGGGUGCGAGCGUUAAUCGGAAUUACUGGGCGUAAAGCGUGCGCAGGCGGUUCGGUAAGUCGGAUGUGAAAUCUCCACGCUCAACGUGGAGGGGCCGUUCGAUACUGUCGUGACUCGAGUCCGGUAGGGGAGUGUGGAAUUCCCGGUGUAGCGGUGAAAUGCGCAGAGAUCGGGAGGAACACCCGUAGCGAAGGCGGCACUCUGGGCCGGUACUGACGCUGAGGAGCGAAAGCGUGGGGAGCAAACAGG